AUACGUAGGGUGCAAGCGUUAAUCGGAAUUACUGGGCGUAAAGCGUGCGCAGGCGGUUUUGUAAGACAGUGGUGAAAUCCCCGGGCUCAACCUGGGAACUGCCAUUGUGACUGCAAGGCUAGAGUGCGGCAGAGGGGGAUGGAAUUCCGCGUGUAGCAGUGAAAUGCGUAGAUAUGCGGAGGAACACCGAUGGCGAAGGCAAUCCCCUGGGCCUGCACUGACGCUCAUGCACGAAAGCGUGGGGAGCAAACAGGAUUAGAUACCCUGGUAGUCCACGCCCUAAACGAUGUCAACUGGUUGUUGGGUCUUAACUGACUCAGUAACGAAGCUAACGCGUGAAGUUGACCGCCUGGGGAGUACGGCCGCAAGGUUGA
Molecule: ribosomal RNA, 374 nt
Filed under: uncultured bacterium
Lineage: Bacteria
Description: bacterial SSU rRNA
Rfam family: Bacterial small subunit ribosomal RNA
Source: RNAcentral